Molecule: ribosomal RNA, 760 nt
Filed under: uncultured Vagococcus sp.
Lineage: Bacteria; Bacillati; Bacillota; Bacilli; Lactobacillales; Enterococcaceae
Description: bacterial SSU rRNA
Rfam family: Bacterial small subunit ribosomal RNA
Source: RNAcentral
ACUGACGCUGAGGCUCGAAAGCGUGGGGAGCAAACAGGAUUAGAUACCUGGUAGUCCACGCCGUAAACGAUGAGUGCUAAGUGUUAGGGGGUUUCCCCCUUUAGUGCUGCAGCUAACGCAUUAAGCACUCCGCUGGGGAGUACGACCGCAAGGUUGAAACUCAAAGGAAUUGACGGGGGCCCGCACAAGCGGUGGAGCAUGUGGUUUAAUUCGAAGCAACGCGAAGAACCUUACCAGGUCUUGACAUCCUUUGACAACUCUAGAGAUAGAGCUUUCCCUUCGGGGACAAAGUGACAGGUGGUGCAUGGUUGUCGUCAGCUCGUGUCGUGAGAUGUUGGGUUAAGUCCCGCAACGAGCGCAACCCUUAUUGUUAGUUGCCAUCAUUCAGUUGGGCACUCUAGCGAAACUGCCGGUGACAAACCGGAGGAAGGUGGGGAUGACGUCAAAUCAUCAUGCCCCUUAUGACCUGGGCUACACACGUGCUACAAUGGACAGUACAAUGAGCAGCGACACGGCGACGUGAAGCGAAUCUCAUAAAGCUGUUCUCAGUUCGGAUUGUAGGCUGCAACUCGCCUACAUGAAGCCGGAAUCGCUAGUAAUCGCGGAUCAGCACGCCGCGGUGAAUACGUUCCCGGGCCUUGUACACACCGCCCGUCACACCACGAAAGUUUGUAACACCCAAAGUCGGUGAGGUAACCUUCGGGAGCCAGCCGCCUAAGGUGGGAUAGAUGAUUGGGGUGAAGUCGUAACAAGGUAACCA